CUGCACCCAUACCCUCUGGCAUAGUAUGGGAAUGAAACUUUACAUACACAGUGAAUUUUACAGCAGAGAAGGUUAGAAGCUUCAACCAAGAGACCAAAACCAUAGGCCACAAGAAGUAACUUAACACUCUAAAAGGGAAGGCAAGACUUACUUGCUCACGUUUUAAAUAACUGGUGUCUACACCCAGAAUUUCCUUACACAGAGCCGAUAUUUACGCCCAGACUCACAUAACACAGAGACGGUAUUUAUACCCAGACUCACAUAACACAGAGACGGUAUUUAUGCUCAGAUUUCCCUUACACAGAGCCGGUACUUACACCCAGACUCAUAUUACACAGAGACAGUAUUUAUGCCCAGACUCACAUUACGCAGAGCUUGAGUUUGCACCCAGACUCACAUUAUGCAGAGCUGAAAUUUGCACUCAGACUCAGAUUACACAGAGCUGGUAUUUACGUCGAGAAUCACAUUACACCAAGCUGGUAUUUAUGCCCAGACUCACGGUACAUAAAGCUAGUAAAUGUGCACAGACUCACAUUACACAGAGCUGGUAUCUUUGCCCAGACUCACUUUAAGUAGAGUUAGUAGCUACGUCCAGUCUCACUUUACACAGAACGAAAAAAAAAACCCUAGAUGCUUUGUUCUGCGCCAAAAAGCUUGUCGGGUGAUUAUAAUUUAUUUCAUUUUUGUUUUCUUUUCUAAAUGCGGUGUAUUUACCAGGAUACAGCGCUUCCAACUGAGACAUGAAUUAUUAUGAGUUUUGCUGUAUUUAACUAAGUGUUGAGGAGAUUUAGUGAUCAUUGUGCCCAGACUCACAUUACACAGAGCUGGUACUGAUACCCAGACUAGCAUUACACAGAGCCAGUAUUUACGCCCAUACUUGCAUUACACAGAGCCAAUAUUUACUCCCAAACUUACAUUACAUUACACAGAACUGGUAUUUACACCCAGACUAACAUUACACAGAGCAGGUAAAUACUUGCAAACUCACAUUAUACAGAGGUAGUAUUUACGGCCAGACUCACAUUAUACAGAGCCACUAUUUACUCCCAGACUCACAUUACACUGAGCUAGUUGUGAUAUCUUGCUCAGGUAUACAUGACAUUUAGCAGAUGUGAACAGCACUUUAGGAAGAGAUUAAAAGGGCCGGGUACUCAGUCCUCUUUAGGUAAGCAUUGUUGGGAAUUUUCAGACCCUGACCACUCCAUCAUGUGAUAUGGGAGCCUCCACCCAGUUCACAUAAUUGCAUUCACUGCAGGGGAUAACAGGUGGCACAGAAACGUUGUGCUCAAUUAAAGUAACUUUCAGAUUUAGACCCAGCCUGGAAAGUAGGAUUUGGUGAAUUGAUGCCUUCAGGAGGAGAUGUUCUUUUAAAAGUAUUGUUAAUGCAUUUGUAAAGUAGGAGAUGGUUUUGUCUGGAAAAAGUCACACAAUAUCUUGGGGCAAUAUCUCCUGGCUCGUGGUAACAUGGCAUGAGUUAAUAUCAAACGUGGAAUAUCAUGUGUUGAUGAACUCC
Pelobates cultripes (western spadefoot toad) is the source of this 1513-nucleotide non-coding RNA. Lineage: Eukaryota; Metazoa; Chordata; Amphibia; Anura; Pelobatidae. The record is from the annotation of a GenBank genome assembly.